AGAGUUUGAUCAUGGCUCAGGAUGAACGCUGGCGGCGUGCCUAAUACAUGCAAGUCGAACGGAGGUAUUGUAUUCGUACGAUACCUUAGUGGCGAACGGGUGAGUAACGCGUUGGUGACCUGCCCCGAAGAGGGGGAUAACAGUCCGAAAGGAUUGCUAAUACCCCAUGUGGUCCCGGUGAUUAGAUGCCCGGUGACUAAAGGAGUAAUCCACUUUGGGAGGGACCUGCGUCCCAUCAGCUAGUUGGUAGGGUAACGGCCUACCAAGGCUAGGACGGGUAGGGGACCUGAGAGGGUGGCCCCCCACAAUGGAACUGAAACACGGUCCAUACACCUACGGGUGGCAGCAGUAGGGAAUAUUGCUUAAUGGGCGAAAGCCUGAAGCAGCAACGCCGCGUGCACGAUGAAGGUCUUCGGAUCGUAAAGUGCUUUUUUAGAGGAUGAGGAAGGACAGUACUCUAAGAAUAAGCCUCGGCUAACUACGUGCCAGCAGCCGCGGUAAAACGUAGGAGGCGAGCGUUAUCCGGAUUUACUGGGCGUAAAGCGUGUGCAGGUGGUUUGGUUAGUUGGAUGUGAAAGCUCCUGGCUUAACUGGGAGAGGUCGUUCAAUACUGCCAGACUUGAGAGUGAGAGAGGGAGGUGGAAUUCCGGGUGUAGUGGUGAAAUGCGUAGAUAUCCGGAGGAACACCAGUGGCGAAAGCGGCCUCCUGGCUCAUUUCUGACACUCAUACACGAAAGCUAGGGUAGCAAACGGGAUUAGAGACCCCGGUAGUCCUAGCUGUAAACGAUGUGAACUUGGCGUUGGUGGGUUCAAAUCCAUCAGUGCCGAAGCUAACGCGAUAAGUUCACCGCCUGGGGACUACGGCCGCAAGGCUAAAACUCAAAGGAAUUGACGG
This 895-nucleotide ribosomal RNA is filed under the name uncultured bacterium. RNAcentral's name for it is "bacterial SSU rRNA". It matches the Rfam family "Bacterial small subunit ribosomal RNA", at positions 8 to 916 of the family's 1533-position model. The record is from RNAcentral.